CCCUUAGAUGUCCUGGGCCGCACGCGCGCUACACUGAGUGUCUGAGAUAUGAGGCAUGCCUGGUCCGGCAAGGUCUAGGUAAUCACGAAAAGGCACAUCAUGCUUGGGAUUGAUUAUUGCAAAUUUUAAUCAUGAACGAGGAAUUCCUAGUAAGUGCAAGUCAACAGCUUGCGUUGAUUACGUCCCUGCCCUUUGUACACACCGCCCGUCGCUACUACCGAUUGAAUGGUUUAGUGAGAUCUUCGGAUUGGCGCCACUGCAGCUCAGCAAUGGGCUUGGUGGAUGCCGAAAAGUUGAUCAAACUUGAUCAUUUAGAGGAAGUAAAAGUCGUAACA
Molecule: ribosomal RNA, 335 nt
Filed under: uncultured eukaryote
Lineage: Eukaryota
Description: partial 18S ribosomal RNA
Rfam family: Eukaryotic small subunit ribosomal RNA
Source: RNAcentral